Molecule: ribosomal RNA, 231 nt
Filed under: uncultured Anoxybacillus sp.
Lineage: Bacteria; Bacillati; Bacillota; Bacilli; Caryophanales; Anoxybacillaceae
Description: partial 16S ribosomal RNA
Rfam family: Bacterial small subunit ribosomal RNA
Source: RNAcentral
CCGGCUAAAAGUCGGAGGAAGGUGGGGAUGACGUCAAAUCAUCAUGCCCCUUAUGACCUGGGCUACACACGUGCUACAAUGGGCGGUACAAAGGGUCGCGAACCCGCGAGGGGGAGCCAAUCCCAAAAAGCCGCUCUCAGUUCGGAUUGCAGGCUGCAACUCGCCUGCAUGAAGCCGGAAUCGCUAGUAAUCGCGGAUCAGCAUGCCGCGGUGAAUACGUUCCCGGGCCUU